Molecule: ribosomal RNA, 1328 nt
Filed under: metagenome
Description: bacterial LSU rRNA
Rfam family: Bacterial large subunit ribosomal RNA
Source: RNAcentral
AAAAAAAAAAAAAAAAAAAGAAGAUAGAGUACACGACCGUACCGCAAACCGACACUGGUGCGCGAGAUGAGUAUUCUCAGGCGCUUGAGAGAACUCGGGAGAAGGAACUCGGCAAAUUGACACCGUAACUUCGGAAGAAGGUGUGCCUUUAGUAGGUGAAGUCCCUCGCGGAUGGAGCCCAAUGAGGUUGCAAAGAAUCGGUGGCUGCGACUGUUUAAUAAAAACACAGCACUCUGCAAACACGAAAGUGGACGUAUAGGGUGUGACGCCUGCCCGGUGCUGGAAGAUUAAGUGAUGGGGUGCAAGCUCUUGAUCGAAGUCCCAGUAAACGGCGGCCGUAACAAUAACGGUCCUAAGGUAGCGAAAUUCCUUGUCGGGUAAGUUCCGACCUGCACGAAUGGCGUAGCGAUGGCCACACUGUCUCCUCCCGAGACUCAGCGAAGUUGAAAUGUUUGUGAUGAUGCAAUCUCCCCGCGGAAAGACGGAAAGACCCCAUGAACCUUUACUGUAGCUUUGUAUUGGACUUUGAACGGAUCUGUGUAGGAUAGGUGGGAGGCUUUGAAGCCGGGUCGCUAGAUCUGGUGGAGCCAACGUUGAAAUACCACCCUGGUGCGUUUGAGGUUCUAACCUAGGCCCGUUAUCCGGGCCGGGGACAGUGCAUGGUAGGCAGUUUGACUGGGGCGGUCUCCUCCCAAAGCGUAACGGAGGAGUUCGAAGGUACGCUAGUUACGGUCGGACAUCGUGACGAUAGUGCAAUGGCAUAAGCGUGCUUAACUGCGAGACUGACAAGUCGAGCAGAUGCGAAAGCAGGACAUAGUGAUCCGGUGGUUCUGUAUGGAAGGGCCAUCGCUCAACGGAUAAAAGGUACUCUGGGGAUAACAGGCUGAUACCGCCCAAGAGUUCAUAUCGACGGCGGUGUUUGGCACCUCGAUGUCGGCUCAUCUCAUCCUGGGGCUGUAGCCGGUCCCAAGGGUAUGGCUGUUCGCCAUUUAAAGAGGUACGUGAGCUGGGUUUAAAACGUCGUGAGACAGUUUGGUCCCUAUCUUCCGUGGGCGCUGCAGAUUUGAGGAAGCCUGCUCCUAGUACGAGAGGACCGGAGUGGACGCACCUCUGGUGUACCUGUUGUCACGCCAGUGGCAUUGCAGGGUAGCUAAGUGCGGAAGAGAUAACCGCUGAAAGCAUCUAAGCGGGAAACUCGUUUCAAGAUGAGAUCUGCCGGGGCCUUGAGCCCCCUGAAGAGUCGUUCUAGACCAGGACGUUGAUAGGUCAGGUGUGGAAGCGCAGUAAUGCGUUAAGCUAACUGAUACUAAUUGCUCGUGCGGCUUGAU